AAGUCGUAACAAGGUCUCCGUAGGUGAACCUGCGGAGGGAUCAUUAACACGUGUAAAAACGUAUUACUAUACCUAACUAACCAACACCGUGAACUAUGUUUUGAUUAACAUUUUUUAUCUUUUUAUUUGUUACUAUUUUACGAUAGUAAUGAGUGAAUUCUUAACCUUUUCCAAUUUCUUCUUUUUUUUUGUUAUUGUAUUGUAUAGUGUUCAUGGUAUUUUACUAUGAUACUGUAUGAUCAUACAUAUAAUGUAAAAAAAUCAAAAGCACAACUCUUAGCAACGGAUAUCUUGGUUCUC
Molecule: unclassified non-coding RNA, 300 nt
Filed under: fungal sp.
Lineage: Eukaryota; Fungi
Description: partial internal transcribed spacer region
Rfam family: Eukaryotic small subunit ribosomal RNA (bases 1-46)
Source: RNAcentral